AUGACUGCACAUUCCUUCUCAACUUCUCAUCCACAAAAAGUCAAAAACAAACAAGUCAUUCAUCAUCUUUUCCUUGUGUCCACCAUUGCCAACGUGAGUUCUGGGUUGAGAGAUUGCCACCAGGGAGAGGCAAGCCUGGAAGCAGGAGCACGAGAGAUGUCCCGCCUCACCGCGAAAGGAGCCAACAUGUCUCGCCGCACGGUCGUAGCAGCAGAGAGGUCCCGCCGCGCCGUCGAAGCAGCACGAAGGACCCGCUGCGUCGUUGAUGCAGCAGACUGGUUCGGCCGCGUCGCAGAAGCAGAAGAGAUGUCCCGCCGCGCCGCGAAUGCAGCAGAGAUGUCCUCCCACGCCGCAGAGGCCUGGGAAAUUGCCUCGCGGACAGGCGCAUGCGUGCCCUCGUCCUUAGGCAGAUGGAUUAGAUCUCCAGGUGGACGAGGUUGCAGGAUGACCUGCAAGCCUCGUUUGAACAGUCUACCGACGUCAUCCGGCAACUAA
Molecule: ribosomal RNA, 495 nt
Filed under: Triticum aestivum (bread wheat)
Lineage: Eukaryota; Viridiplantae; Streptophyta; Magnoliopsida; Poales; Poaceae
Description: partial small subunit ribosomal RNA
Source: RNAcentral